This 238-nucleotide ribosomal RNA is filed under the name uncultured bacterium. RNAcentral's name for it is "partial 16S ribosomal RNA". It matches the Rfam family "Bacterial small subunit ribosomal RNA", at positions 105 to 334 of the family's 1533-position model. The record is from RNAcentral.
CGGGACGGGGUCGGAGGUAAUGUCUGGGAAACUAGCCUGAUGAGGGGGAGUAACUACUGGAAACGGUAGCUAAUACCGCAUAACGUCGCAAGACCAAAGAGGGGGACCUUCGGGCCUCUUGCCAUCGGAUGUGCCCAGAUGGGAUUAGCUAGUAGGUGGGGUAACGGCUCACCUAGGCGACGAUCCCUAGCUGGUCUGAGAGGAUGACCAGCCACACUGGAACUGAGACACGGUCCAG